Molecule: long non-coding RNA, 303 nt
Filed under: Elaeis guineensis (African oil palm)
Lineage: Eukaryota; Viridiplantae; Streptophyta; Magnoliopsida; Arecales; Arecaceae
Description: long non-coding RNA (EGUI_LNC014269)
Source: RNAcentral
UUAUUCCCAUAACUAGCUCAUUUUAAGGUCCUAAUAAUUUAGAAGAUUUGAUUUAAUGAUUUAAGAAGUAAUUAACCAGCAAGUCUUAAGUCCUCCCACUGACUUCACCAAGUCACGAAAAAGACUAGCAAGCUGGUCCAUUAGACUGGUGAGUCUAAAUCCUUCCACUGACUUCACCAAGUCAUGAAGAGGACUAGAGACAAGCUGGUCCAAGGACAUCUAAAUCAGUCGAAUAGAUUUAAUACUAUGAGAAUGAGAGAAGAGAUAGACCAACAGUCAAAAGUCUUCCCACUAACUUCACCA